This is a long non-coding RNA of Oreochromis aureus, 477 nucleotides long. The record is from Ensembl. Lineage: Eukaryota; Metazoa; Chordata; Actinopteri; Cichliformes; Cichlidae.
ACUCUCUACUGUGAUGUCACACAUCAAUUCCAGACUCGCCUCUCUACUGUGAUGUCAAAUAUCAAUACCAGACUCGUCUCUCUACUGUGAUGUCACACAUCAAUUCCAGGUUCGUGUCUCUGCUGUGAUGUCAAAUAUCAAUGCCAGAGUAGAUUCUCUAAGGUGAUGUCAAAAAUCAAUGCCAGACUUGCGUCUCUCUGCUGUGAUGUCAAAUAGCUCACACGGGGUGUGUCUGAUGUGAAGUAUGAGUGAUCGCCGAUCACAGGGCGUGUCUCUGGCGUGACUUAUCAGCAAUCGCCGCUCGCCGGGCGUGUCUGUCGCGUGACGUAUUAGCUAUCGCCAAUGUCAGUGCGUGACUGUUUUGUGACUUAUCAGCAAUCGCCGCUCGCCGGGCGUGUCUGUCACGUGACGUAUUAGCUAUCGCCAAUGUCAGGGCGUGACUGUUUUGUGACUUAUCAGCAAUCGCUGCUCGCCGGG